Molecule: long non-coding RNA, 600 nt
Filed under: Musa acuminata (dwarf banana)
Lineage: Eukaryota; Viridiplantae; Streptophyta; Magnoliopsida; Zingiberales; Musaceae
Description: long non-coding RNA (MACU_LNC010365)
Source: RNAcentral
UCACAGAUUAAGACGAGGAGGGUAUUGUUCUCUCCCCGCCCUCCUCUCUUUCUCCAAGCCGAUGCCGAUGAAUCUUUCUCUUUAAUUUCCGGCGCAAAUCCUCUGUCUAAUUUUCUCUCUUUACCUUUCCCUUUCUUGCAUUCGAUCUAAGAGGCGAUGAUGAUUGGUGAAUGUUGCAUUCGAUCUAAGUGGCGAUGAUGAUUGGUGAAUGUCAAUGAUGGAUUCAAUCAUCUGCUAUUUUGGCUCUUUUGGAUCGAUCGUCCAUUGCGAUGGCGAAUCCCAUAUUCCUUGAGUCCGUAUGUUUCUGAUCCUAACCCUAAGUCCGUUGUCUCCUCUCUUCUGUCCUCUCUGUUCUCCAAUACUAGACGGAUUCGGGCAGGAAUAGGGAGACGAUGUUUCUGUCCUCUGUUCUUUGUCCUCUCUUCUUAUGAUCGACGUUAGAUGAAUCUGAGCCUCGUUUUUCUAGAUCUCUCUGUUGUUUCUAACCUUAGAGUAUUUAAAAGAUUUCGAUUCCUAUUUUCUCAUUUUCUUUUCUACUUUAAGGUUUCUGUUACUGUUGAGAAUUGUUUGGUCGGAAAAAAAACUUUAGAAACCUGCCAA